CUUGCCUCAAAUAAGAGGUCCAGCCUGCCCAGUGACACUGUUCAACGGCCGCGGUAUCCUAACCGUGCGAAGGUAGCGUAAUCACUUGUUCUUUAAAUGAGGACUAGUAUGAAAGGCAUCACGAGAGUCAUACUGUCUCCUUUUUCCAAUCAGUUAAACUAAUCUCCCCGUGAAGAAGCGGGGAUAAUUCUAUAAGACGAGAAGACCCUAUGGAGCUUUAAACAAAUAACACUUGCCUACCCCCUCCUUUAAUUUCAGAAAAAUCUCCCACUUUGGCAUGAUACUUAUAAGUUUUUGAUUGGGGUGAUCACGGAACAAAAAACAACCUCCGCAAUGAAAGACACUCCCCUAACUAAGUUAAGAACUACAGCUCUAUACAUCAACAAAUUGACACUAAUUGACCCAAUAUAUUGAUCAAUGAAC
This 423-nucleotide ribosomal RNA is filed under the name Adenomera simonstuarti group sp. ABGD cluster 38. Its description in RNAcentral is "partial large subunit ribosomal RNA". It matches the Rfam family "Bacterial large subunit ribosomal RNA", at positions 1835 to 2457 of the family's 2925-position model. Lineage: Eukaryota; Metazoa; Chordata; Amphibia; Anura; Leptodactylidae. The record is from RNAcentral.